GACGAACGCUGGCGGCGUGCUUAACACAUGCAAGUCGAACGGUAAGGCCCUUCGGGGUACACGAGUGGCGAACGGGUGAGUAACACGUGGGUGAUCUGCCCUGCACUUCGGGAUAAGCCUGGGAAACUGGGUCUAAUACCGGAUAGGACCACUGCCUGCAUGGGUGGUGGUGGAAAGCUUUUGCGGUGUGGGAUGGGCCCGCGGCCUAUCAGCUUGUUGGUGGGGUGAUGGCCUACCAAGGCGACGACGGGUAGCCGGCCUGAGAGGGUGACCGGCCACACUGGUACGGAGAUACGGCCCAGACUCCUACGGGAGGCAGCAGUGGGGAAUAUUGCACGAUGGGCGCAAGCCUGAUGCAGCGACGCAGCGGGAGGGAUGACGGCCUUCGGGUUGUAAACCUCUUUCAGCACCGACGAAGCGCAAGUGACGGUAGGUGCAGAAGAAGGACCGGCCAACUACGUGCCAGCCGCCGCCGUAA
RNAcentral lists this ribosomal RNA (478 nucleotides) under uncultured bacterium. RNAcentral's name for it is "partial 16S ribosomal RNA". It matches the Rfam family "Bacterial small subunit ribosomal RNA", at positions 28 to 523 of the family's 1533-position model. The record is from RNAcentral.